GCCCUUGGAAGGGAUGUAUUUAUUAGAUUAAAAACCAAUGCCCUUCGGGGCUCACUGGUGAUUCAUGAUAACUCCUCGAAUCGCAUGGCCUUGUGCCGGCGAUGGUUCAUUCAAAUUUCUUCCCUAUCAACUUUCGAUGUUUGGGUAUUGGCCAAACAUGGUUGCAACGGGUAACGGAGGGUUAGGGCUCGGCCCCGGAGAAGGAGCCUGAGAAACGGCUACUACAUCCAAGGAAGGCAGCAGGCGCGCAAAUUACCCAAUCCCGACACGGGGAGGUAGUGACAAUAAAUACUGAUACAGGGCUCUUUUGGGUCUUGUAAUUGGAAUGAGUACAAUUUAAAUCCCUUAACGAGGAACAAUUGGAGGGCAAGUCUGGUGCCAGCAGCCGCGGUAAUUCCAGCUCCAAUAGCGUAUAUUAAAGUUGUUGUGGUUAAAAAGCUCGUAGUUGAACCCUGGGCCUGGCUGGCCGGUCCGCCUCACCGCGUGUACUGGUCCGGCCGGGCCUUUCCCUCUGUGGAACCCCAUGCCCUUCACUGGGUGUGGCGGGGAACCAGGACUUUUACAAGGGC
RNAcentral lists this ribosomal RNA (569 nucleotides) under uncultured Pezizomycotina. Its description in RNAcentral is "SSU rRNA". It matches the Rfam family "Eukaryotic small subunit ribosomal RNA", at positions 185 to 761 of the family's 1831-position model. Lineage: Eukaryota; Fungi; Ascomycota. The record is from RNAcentral.